UUGAAAUCUGGCAGUCUUCGAUUGACCGAGUUGUAAUCUAUAGAAGCGUUUUCCGUGCUGAACUGUGUCUAAGUCCCUUGGAACAGGGUAUCAAAGAGGGUGACAAUCCCGUACUUGACACAAUCAUCAGUGCUCUGUGAUACGUUCUCUACGAGUCGAGUUGUUUGGGAAUGCAGCUCAAAAUGGGUGGUAAAUUCCAUCUAAAGCUAAAUAUUGGCGAGAGACCGAUAGCGAACAAGUACCGUGAGGGAAAGAUGAAAAGCACUUUGGAAAGAGAGUUAAACAGUACGUGAAAUUGUUGAAAGGGAAACGAUUGAAGUCAGUCGUGUUCAUUGGAUUCAGCCGGUCUUCGGUGUAUUUCCUUUGAACGGGUCAACAUCAGUUUUGUCCGGUGGAUAAAGGUAAUAGGAAGGUGGCUCCUCCGGGAGUGUUAUAGCCUAUUGCCACAUACACUGGGUGAGACUGAGGACUGCAGCUUGCCUUUAUGGCCGGGGUUCGCCCACGUUCAGCUUAGGAUGUUGACAUAAUAGG
Molecule: ribosomal RNA, 531 nt
Filed under: Apiotrichum sporotrichoides
Lineage: Eukaryota; Fungi; Basidiomycota; Tremellomycetes; Trichosporonales; Trichosporonaceae
Description: eukaryotic LSU rRNA
Rfam family: Eukaryotic large subunit ribosomal RNA
Source: RNAcentral